CUUGUUUUGGUAUCAGAGUGACACUUGUUUCUAAGAAUGAAAUAGGGAGGACUGCUUCUCUUUCAAUUUCAUUGAAGAGUUUAAGGAGUAUUGGAGUCAGAUCUUCUCUGAAUUUCUUAUGGAAUUCAGCUCUGAAUCCAGCAGGAUCUGGCCUUUAUUUGUUGGUGCAGGGGAAGAAAGCCAGACCUGAAGGUGAAGAUGCAGUGACAAUGUCUACAUGCUCCUGAAAAGAAAAACAACAGCUUGAAAUGUACUACAGUUACCACCACCUCCUCCAGGAAGUCCUGAUAGGCAUCAAUUACCAUACUCAAUUACCAGAACAAUUGGACUAUUGUUCCCACAAAAUGCCUUGGCUCUUUCCACAUAUCUUUUCUGGCUGACUUGUUCCCCUGAUGAAUAAUAUUAGUUAAGCACCUAUAAUCUUAUAGAUUGAUUGUAGUUUGAGACCUACAGUUUGCCCACAUUGUGACUAUCCUGUAUAAAUGACCCCUGACAAUAUGACUGUGUUCAAAAUACUGAAGACCACUCCUGAAAAUUCAGAGCUAUUCUCUCUUUUUUUCUAAGACAAUUUUUGAAAUUCUUUUGGUUUGUGACUUCAUUUCUCAAUGUUGUGAGCCAUUAAACGGUGCAUUUGAUAUCAA
Molecule: long non-coding RNA, 641 nt
Organism: Cavia porcellus (domestic guinea pig)
Lineage: Eukaryota; Metazoa; Chordata; Mammalia; Rodentia; Caviidae
Exons: 2
Source: RefSeq, a predicted model, not a curated record